AUGGAUAAAGGAAAUCCAGUACAUGUAGGCCCCGGGGCUGUGUCCCCACUUGCUGGCUGCACGGGGUGGAGUCAGUGGGACCACUCGUGGCACCAAGGAUGCCUCGCCACCCUAGGAGUGAGUGUGUGUGGGCCAGUCUGCCCCAGGUGGCCCUCGGUGCUCUCCGUCACAUCACACCUGACACACAGCUGCUGCUGGGCCCCGGCAACACCUUGUGUUUCCCACGGCACUUGCAGAAUCAAGCAACGCGAAACGCAGCAGUUGCACCCUGAGCCAGGCCGCAUGCAGCAGGCCCCCUGCCCUGUGCUGGUUCCCCCAGGGGAGAAGCAACUCCCACGGACCUGGUUCCCGACAAAACAGAUUCGCUCUGCUGAUGCCAGAUGCGACCUUCCGGCCUGGGGCGAUGGGAGCAAGUUGCUGAACUUGCUGCACAGGUGGCGAACUUGGCCACCUUGGAGUCCGUGUCACUUCCCUUCAAAUACCUGUUGGCCAGCCAGUGCUUCUGAGGUGCUGAAAGUCACUGCCCCCACAGCCUCCCUGCAGUGGGCCUCCCCCACAACGGGGCCCCUACCUGCCCACCUCCCCACCCCAACCCCAUCCUGCUCCUGCCCUCCCGGUGCGGGCCUGGUGCAGAGGGGUCAGGUCAGGCCUGGCCCCCCCUGGGGUCGGAACCUCCGCUGGCUCCUGGCUCGCUCAGGAGCUCCAUGUGCCCACCCCUUCCUCAGACCCACCCCGACCCCCACCCCCUACCCGCUGCUGCCUAGCACCAGCCAGGAGCAUUUCAGGCCCAGCCCCUCUGCUCUCCUGCACAGGUGCCGCCAGGUGGCCCUGGGUCCCAGGUCCCAGUGCCCGGGGCUUUGCUCAGCUGUCCCUUUGGAAGUGUCCUUGGACUCCCAGUGCCCACACCCACCUGUGUCCUCACAACCACUCUGUUGUCCAUCACCGCACGUGGGCACAACCUGUGUCUUUUGUCUUUCUGGUCCUUGCUGCAUUGCCGGCACUUUGGAAAUGGCUGGCCCAGGCCGGCAGCUGCUGGGCGAGUGGGAGGGGCCGGGCGGUGCGGUAGAGCCCAGCACACCCUGGAUGUGGUUUGUCUUGUGCAACACUUUGUUGAAAACACACUGUCCGUUCUAG
RNAcentral lists this long non-coding RNA (1134 nucleotides) under Oryctolagus cuniculus (rabbit). RNAcentral's name for it is "lncRNA (ENSOCUG00000036770.1)". Lineage: Eukaryota; Metazoa; Chordata; Mammalia; Lagomorpha; Leporidae. The record is from RNAcentral.